Molecule: ribosomal RNA, 238 nt
Filed under: uncultured bacterium
Lineage: Bacteria
Description: partial 16S ribosomal RNA
Rfam family: Bacterial small subunit ribosomal RNA
Source: RNAcentral
GAUCCUGGCUCAGGACGAACGCUGGCGGCGUGCUUAACACAUGCAAGUCGAACGAGAAUCUACUGAAAGAGUUUUCGGACAAUGGAAGUAGAGGAAAGUGGCGGACGGGUGAGUAACGCGUGAGGAACCUGCCUUGAAGAGGGGGACAACAGUUGGAAACGACUGCUAAUACCGCAUGAAGCAUAGGGGUCGCAUGAUCUUUAUGCCAAAGAUUUAUCGCUUCAAGAUGGCCUCGCGU